GACGAACCGUGCGAACGUUGUUCGGAAUCACUGGGCUUAAAGGGCGCGUAGGCGGGCUGUCAAGUCCGGGGUGAAAUCCUUCGGCUCAACCGGAGAAUUGCCUCGGAUACUGGCAGUCUUGAGGGAGGUAGGGGCACGCGGAACUUCCGGUGGAGCGGUGAAAUGCGUUGAUAUCGGAAGGAACGCCGGUGGCGAAAGCGGCGUGCUGGCCCUCUUCUGACGCUGAGGCGCGAAAGCCAGGGGAGCGAACGGG
This 253-nucleotide ribosomal RNA is filed under the name uncultured bacterium. Its description in RNAcentral is "partial 16S ribosomal RNA". It matches the Rfam family "Bacterial small subunit ribosomal RNA", at positions 524 to 776 of the family's 1533-position model. The record is from RNAcentral.